Molecule: microRNA, 21 nt
Filed under: Acyrthosiphon pisum (pea aphid)
Lineage: Eukaryota; Metazoa; Arthropoda; Insecta; Hemiptera; Aphididae
Description: api-miR-9b
Gene: api-miR-9b
Source: miRBase by way of RNAcentral
UCUUUGGUACUUUAGCUGUAG